GAUGAACGCUGGCGGCGUGCCUAAUACAUGCAAGUCGAGCGAACAGAUAAGGAGCUUGCUCCUUUGACGUUAGCGGCGGACGGGUGAGUAACACGUGGGUAACCUACCUAUAAGACUGGGAUAACUUCGGGAAACCGGAGCUAAUACCGGAUAAUAUUUCGAACCGCAUGGUUCGAUAGUAAAAGAUGGUUUUGCUAUCACUUAUAGAUGGACCCGCGCCGUAUUAGCUAGUUGGUAAGGUAACGGCUUACCAAGGCGACGAUACGUAGCCGACCUGAGAGGGUGAUCGGCCACACUGGAACUGAGACACGGUCCAGACUCCUACGGGAGGCAGCAGUAGGGAAUCUUCCGCAAUGGGCGAAAGCCUGACGGAGCAACGCCGCGUGAGUGAUGAAGGUCUUCGGAUCGUAAAACUCUGUUAUUAGGGAAGAACAUACGUGUAAGUAACUGUGCACGUCUUGACGGUACCUAAUCAGAAAGCCACGGCUAACUACGUG
Molecule: ribosomal RNA, 497 nt
Filed under: uncultured bacterium
Lineage: Bacteria
Description: partial 16S ribosomal RNA
Rfam family: Bacterial small subunit ribosomal RNA
Source: RNAcentral